GGAGAGAUGGCUGAGUGGACUAAAGCGUCGGAUGCUAAU
This 39-nucleotide transfer RNA is filed under the name Prunus serrulata. RNAcentral describes it as "partial tRNA-Ser". Lineage: Eukaryota; Viridiplantae; Streptophyta; Magnoliopsida; Rosales; Rosaceae. The record is from RNAcentral.